UACAAAGGGUGCGAGCGUUAAUCGGAAUUACUGGGCGUAAAGCGCGCGUAGGCGGCUUUGCAAGUCGGGUGUGAAAUCCCCAGGCUUAACCUGGGAACUGCAUUCGAGACUGCAUUGCUAGAGUAUGGGAGAGGGAAGUGGAAUUUCCGGUGUAGCGGUGAAAUGCGUAGAUAUCGAGAGGAACACCGGUGGCGAAGGCGGCCAACUGGACGAAUACUGACGCUGAGACUCGAAAGCGUGGGGAGCAAACAGG
Molecule: ribosomal RNA, 253 nt
Filed under: uncultured bacterium
Lineage: Bacteria
Description: partial 16S ribosomal RNA
Rfam family: Bacterial small subunit ribosomal RNA
Source: RNAcentral